GUGCCAAAGUCACGCCUAAAUAAACUAGCACCACUACUGUCGUAGCGAUGCUUCUCAACGGAGAAACAAGCUUUGAAUAACUGGCAGAAGAUUAAUUUAGCUUGGGUUGUUGUGGAAACUUUUCUCUGCAUGUGCAUUUGGGGUGCAUUUUUUUCUUGAAAAUCAAAUAAUCUGUAAAGCACUUAUUUUCAAGAGUACGAAGUUUGAAGUGAAAUCUGAUCUUACGUCAUAGCUUCAGUACUUCAAUGUGAGUCAUCUGACUUAUCGGUUUAUUUAGUUUAGCGCCAUCGUGUGGUCAAUUUUAUGUAUUUCAGUUGUGGCAGAAAAUUUGUGCGUUGAGCACUGCAGUGGUGGCGGUGAGGUUCACAACAAAUAGCAAUUUGGCCUACGCCGAACAUUCAAACUCCACAAGGGAAGGCCAGAGCCUAGAUUUGAAUUACUUGUCAUCACUACCAUACAUUUUAUCAUAAUGGCAAUUUGAUUGUAUUUCUGAGCAAAAGAACUUUUUAAAAAUGCCACUGUACUUCCCUUUGUUGUGACACUAUUGCGACCCCAUGUCACGACUGCAAACCCGGAUCAAAGAGCCUUGAAAAGUGAUGUCACAGAGUAUAAAGUCCUCCUCUGUUCUCUUUGGUGUUAGUUGAGACUUCAGUGAGAACACGCAAGCGAAAACUGAAGGAGGAAUAGCCGAGUGGAGCUUUGGCUACCGAUGAAACGGACUGAUCUAAAAAUAGAGAUCAUUGAGGUGUGGUGGCUAAGAAGGUGGCAAAUUUCACGCAGUUCAAUGCCGAAAGUCAUAGGCCGCCAUAUAAAUGGCGCGUGAAUCACGUUCGUCCCAUUGGAGGCCGCCACAACACAUCGUCCAUUUCCACCCGGCAACAGCAAGGUGGCAUUGUGAGUGGCAGCGGCGCUGGCGACCGCGUUGGCCGUAGCGGUGAACGCCGUUUGCGGGACCAGCCUCGGCAUCAGCGGGACCAGACGGCGGCCUUCGAUGGACCACUCGGACGAGCUGUUCUGACCGGCCAUGCUGCGGGGACACGAAAGGUCUCCUUGGGCCCGUAAGGCGCUGAUGACGCUGGCGUACGCCUCCAGCUCUGGAGACAAGAGAACAUGCAUGUUGAUGUUGUGGGAGCUCCAACACCACAAAAGCACCUUGACCUGAACUUUCUGGAACAAUGUGACGAAAGCAUCACUUUACUCCGUAAAGUUAAAAGUAUCCUAUAAAUUGACCCUCGACCUUCUUUCAGCCAGGAGGGAUAGAUGAACCCUGGUUUUGUUCUCAUUUACAGUUUUGAUGGGACUCUUAGGCAGUGCUCAUAUUAAAUAGCUUUUUUUUUGUGCAAAAUACUAUUGUAAAAUAAACCACAGCACACAUACAAAACUUUUUUUUUGUUUUAAAUCACACAUGUAGCUGUAGCGCAAUAAGCUAGGUUGGCAUCCUCCUAAAUUCCAGUCAAAGUGAGUAAGUCAGUAUCAGGCAUUUUUUUUUUAAAUGAACAAACUUCAACAUGACAAAAACUGCUACUUUAACUUUUCGAACAGCUUCUCAUUAACUGAGCCGCUUAUCCUCACAAGGGUCACGGGGUGCUGGAGCCUAUCCUAGCUAUCUCGGGUGAUAGGGCACACCCUGGUUACCAG
Long non-coding RNA from Syngnathoides biaculeatus (alligator pipefish), 1638 nucleotides. RefSeq lists it as uncharacterized. Lineage: Eukaryota; Metazoa; Chordata; Actinopteri; Syngnathiformes; Syngnathidae. The transcript is spliced from 4 exons. The record is from RefSeq and is a predicted model, not a curated record.